This is a non-coding RNA of Maylandia zebra (zebra mbuna), 349 nucleotides long. Lineage: Eukaryota; Metazoa; Chordata; Actinopteri; Cichliformes; Cichlidae. The record is from RefSeq and is a predicted model, not a curated record.
UCAAAGGACUGGCCCGCCCCGUCAUAACGAAAGGGGCGGGACAAAUCUGUUGCUUAGCAACUGAAAAAAAGGCACACCGCGCUGAAUGCUACAUCCGGCCUGCGACGGUACACCGCCUCCGCACCACCGUUUAAACAUGAAGUGUGGAUGUUAGAAGAUCCCAAAUAUGGAAAUAGUCAGGACCCAGAUGAACCUGUGCUGGAAUUCAGUGUGGGGUGGUGGGUCUCAGAGGACAAUUGCUACCCCUGUUGAAGUGAACAACGUGUGGAGUGCAACUGGCUUUGUGGCAUAGCUGGCUCUGGCCUUGGACUGUGUGUUUUUACUUUGUACCUAAAUGGGACACUGGACU